RNAcentral lists this ribosomal RNA (273 nucleotides) under Triticum aestivum (bread wheat). RNAcentral's name for it is "partial small subunit ribosomal RNA". The record is from RNAcentral. Lineage: Eukaryota; Viridiplantae; Streptophyta; Magnoliopsida; Poales; Poaceae.
GAAUUUACCGAAAUCUUGUUCUCGUCAGAGAAGAAAGGAGGAGCACCUCGUCAACACUCGCGUCUUCAAGUGUUUCAGGAUGCUCUAUCUGAUUGCAUGCUUGAGGAUAUUAGGUAUGAAGGGGACAAGUUUACUUGGUUUCGAGGAGGACUGCAUGAGAGAUUGGACCGAGCUGUUUCAAACGCAGGCUGGGAAAGUCAGACCACCGAUCAAUUUGCAUGGACACAAAUCAUCUGGCAGGUGUGGCUGAUAGCAGUCCUAUUUACAAACUGA